This 650-nucleotide ribosomal RNA is filed under the name uncultured bacterium. RNAcentral describes it as "bacterial SSU rRNA". It matches the Rfam family "Bacterial small subunit ribosomal RNA", at positions 36 to 718 of the family's 1533-position model. The record is from RNAcentral.
CUGGCGGCGUGCCUAACACAUGCAAGUCGAACGAGAAAGUGGAGCAAUCCAUGAGUAAAGUGGCGACCGGGUGAGUAACACGUGACUAACCUACCUCCGAGUGGGGAAUAACUCCGGGAAACCGGGGCUAAUACCGCAUAACAUCGCAAGAUCAAAGCAGCAAUGCGCUUGGAGAGGGGGUCGCGGCUGAUUAGCUAGUUGGCGGGGUAACGGCCCACCAAGGCGAAGAUCGGUAUCCGGCCUGAGAGGGCGCACGGACACACUGGAACUGAAACACGGUCCAGACUCCUACGGGAGGCAGCAGUGGGGAAUUUUGCGCAAUGGGGGAAACCCUGACGCAGCAACGCCGCGUGGAGGAUGAAGCCCUUUGGGGCGUAAACUCCUUUCGACUCGGACGAUAAUGACGGUACGAGUGGAAGAAGCACCGGCUAACUCUGUGCCAGCAGCCGCGGUAAUACAGAGGGUGCGAGCGUUGUUCGGAAUUAUUGGGCGUAAAGGGCGCGUAGGCGGUGCGGUAAGUCACCUGUGAAAUCUCCUGGCUUAACUGGGAGUCUGCAGGCGAAACUACCGUGCUGGAGUGUGGGAAAGGUGCGUGGAAUUCCCGGUGUAGCGGUGAAAUGCGUAAAUAUCGGGAGGAAACACUGUGGCGA